Molecule: long non-coding RNA, 937 nt
Filed under: Manacus vitellinus (golden-collared manakin)
Lineage: Eukaryota; Metazoa; Chordata; Aves; Passeriformes; Pipridae
Description: lncRNA (ENSMVIG00005011457.1)
Source: RNAcentral
CUGUCUGUGGGAAUGACCUGGCUAUGGCUCAGUGUAGUCCUAAUUAAGGUGUCUUUUACUCCGUGUUCCCAGGCUGCCUCUUUCCCUUCGGUCGCCGUGUGUGCGGACGCCUCUGGCAGGACUAACCCUGUGGCUUUUAUGUCCAACGUGCUGUGCUGUGUGUGCCUGCAGGGGAAGACUUUCCAGGACUAACCCUGUGGCUUUUAUGUCCAACGUGCUGUGCUGUGUGUGCCUGCAGAAUUGCCACGAGAGGAAAUACUUCAGAGGGGCUUCCCUCCAGAUAAGGCCUGAAGAUGCCAGGAGGUUUCAGCCGGGAGGAAAGGAGCUGUGGAAGAAAAGCAGCCUAAAAACAGCCAGUGGGGAUCAUCAGGUUUUCCAGCCAAGAAGAACAAGGAGAGAGAUGAGGGAAUCGGGUUCCAAUUCCUAAUGCUUUGGUGGGUGCAGGAAUGAUUUCUGUGUGUUUUCCAGUCCCUUUGGAUUCCUGGGAUGAUUUUAAAAUGAUGGCUUUAGCAAUCAACUAAAUCGCAGAUGUUGUUUUUGAGAGGAAAUGAUGCCAAAGAAAUGCAGAGUUUUGGGUCAGUUUUGGGGAUGAUUUGGGUCAGUUUUUGGGGUCAGUUUGGGGUCAUUGUUUGGGGUGAUUUGGGUCAGCUUUUGGGAUGAUUUGGGUCAGUUUUGGGUCAGCUUUUGGGAUGAUUGGGGUCAGGUUUUGGGGUCAGUUUUGGGUCAGCUUUUGGGGUGAUUUGGGUCGGUUUUGGGUCAAUUUUUGGGGAGCACUGGGUGUUACUGGGGGUUGUUGAGGAGCACUGGGUGUUACUGGGGUGUACUGGGGAGCACUGGGUGUUACUGAGGGUUGUUGGGGAGCACUGGGUGUUACUGGGGAGCACUGGGAGAGAAAAUGAAAAAUAAAGAGAAUAAAAAAUAAACGAAGUAAAGAAGG